GAAUUAUUUUUUGUGUUUUGAAAACAUGAUGAAGAACGGGUGUUCUGUAAUUUU
This 54-nucleotide transfer RNA is filed under the name Gnathostoma spinigerum. Its description in RNAcentral is "tRNA-Ser". The record is from RNAcentral. Lineage: Eukaryota; Metazoa; Nematoda; Chromadorea; Rhabditida; Gnathostomatidae.